GGGUUUGAUUCUGGCUCAGAUUGAACGCUGGCGGCAUGGCUAAAACAUGCAAGUCGAGCGCGAAAGUGGAGCAAUCCACGAGUAGAGCGGCGAAAUGGCGAGUAAUGCGUUUCUAUGUACCCUAAGGUGAGGGAUAGCCCAGGGAAACUUGGAGUAAUACCUCAUGUGGUCUCCGGAUCAAAGGCUUGCCGCCUUAGGAGCAAGGAACGUCCUAUCAGGUUGUUGGGGGGGUAAUGGCCUACCAAGCCUUAGACGGGUAGCGGGUGUGAGAGCAUGAUCCGCCGCAUCGGGACUGAGACACUGCCCGGACUCCUACGGGAGGCUGCAGUAACGAAUCUUCCGCAAUGCGCGAAAGCGUGACGGAGCAAUGCCGCGUGCGGGAUGAAGCUCUUCGGAGUGUAAACCGCUGUCAGGGGCUAGGAACACAAUGACCAACCCCAAAGGAAGGGCCGGCUAACUUCGUGCCAGCAGCCGCGGUAAUACGAAGGGCCCGAGCGUUAAUCGGAAUCACUGGGCUUAAAGCGUACGUAGGCGGAUGCGCAGGCAUCGUGUGAAAUCCCUCCGCUCAACGGAGGAACUGCACGGUGAACCGCGUGUCUUGAGAUUGGUAGGGGCUGUCGGAACGAUAGGUGGAGUGGUGAAAUGCGUUGAUAUCUAUCGGAACGCCGAAGGAGAAGUCAGGCAGCUGGGCCAAUUCUGACGCUGAGGUACGAAAGCGUGGGGAGCGAACGGGAUUAGAUACCCCGGUAGUCCACGCCGUAAACGAUGUGCACUAGAUCGAGGAGGCUCUGACGUCGUUCUCGGUCGAAGCGAAAGUGUUAAGUGCACCGCCUGGGGAGUACGGUCGCAAGGCUAAAACUCAAAGGAAUUGACGGGGGCUCACACAAGCGGUGGAGCAUGUGGCUUAAUUCGAAGCAACGCGAAGAACCUUAUCCUGGGUUUGACAUGCACGGAUCAACCCCAUGAAAGCGGAGUGACGCUCUAAGGGCGGAACGUGCACAGGUGCUGCAUGGCUGUCGUCAGCUCGUGCUGUGAAGUGUCGGGUUAAGUCCCUCAACGAGCGAAACCCCUGUCGCUAGUUACCAUCAGGUAAUGCUGGGGACUCUAGCGAGACUGCCGGUGUCAAACCGGAGGAAGGUGGGGAUGACGUCAAGUCCUCAUGGCCUUUAUGCCCUGGGCUGCACACGUGCUACAAUGGUGGGUACAAAACGAUGCAAGACCGCGAGGUGGAGCAAAAUCGCCAAAACCCGCCCCAGUUCGGAUUGCAGGCUGCAACUCGCCUGCAUGAAGUCGGAAUCGCUAGUAAUCGCGGAUCAGCUACGCCGCGGUGAAUACGUUCCUGAGCCUUGUACACACCGCCCGUCAAGUCAUGGAAGCUGGCAGCGCCCGAAGUCGCCCCAAUGCAGGGGUGCCCACGGCGAGGCUGGUGACUGGGACUAAGUCGUAACAAGGUAGCC
Molecule: ribosomal RNA, 1457 nt
Filed under: uncultured prokaryote
Description: partial 16S ribosomal RNA
Rfam family: Bacterial small subunit ribosomal RNA
Source: RNAcentral